Vitis vinifera (wine grape) is the source of this 995-nucleotide RNA transcript. RefSeq lists it as uncharacterized. NCBI's taxonomy places the organism in Eukaryota, Viridiplantae, Streptophyta, Magnoliopsida, Vitales, Vitaceae. The record is from RefSeq and is a predicted model, not a curated record. The transcript is spliced from 3 exons.
CCCUCACUGAUCUUUAUAUUGAGGACUGCCCAAAACUCAAGUCCUUGCCUGAGGAAGGUAUCUCCCCCUCCCUUCAACAUUUGGUGAUUCAAGGAUGCCCACUGUUGAUGGAGCGAUGCAGAAACGAGAAGGGAGGAGGCCAGGAUUGGCCAAAGAUCAUGCACGUCCCUGAUCUAGAGGUGGAGUCCACUGAUGUAUGUUCAACCCCAGAUUUGCCAAAGCCAAGGCCAUCUUCAGCUCAUUGGUAUAGUCAUAUUUCAUGCUGCAGAGGAGUUGAUGGAAGCGAAGCUCCACAAUCACUGCAACAUUUGAUGUGACCCCGGGAAGGGGAUUGGAGAAGCUGAACAAGGACCUGAAGAUGGCAACUCCGAUCUUGGAGCUGGGACAAUGGCACCGCCACAAUCACCCCACCUCCACCAGCAGCGUCAUCGCUACAAAAGAGCAUCCUCCCUGAUAUGGAGAUUUCGCUGCUGCAGUUCCUCAUGAUGACGACUAUCAACCCCCAAUUUCUCCUCUUUCACCUCUAUCAUUGCCUUCAUCAGACCAAUCAGAGGAGCUCUUCCAUGCCGUACGUGAAAGCCAACACCAACCUUCUUCAAUCAUCGUUGCUUCUCCCUUGCUGCUUUCCAUUUCCACCGCCCUCCCCAAACUGGCAUGAGGCUCUAUAAACGGGGCUGGGAGUUUCCAAUCUUUACAACAACUCUCUUUCAAUGGCAGAAAAGGCACCAAGUUUGAAUAAAAAUACAGUAGUUGUACAUUCAGUGAGGAGCAGAGGGAAAACAAUAUAUCUGACUGCUAUAUAUUUCUAGUUGCAACAGAAAAGGCCUGGAUGAUGCUUUAAGUUGAUGGCUAAUGUGGCUAUAAGACUUGUGUUUGUGUCUUUGCACGGAUAGCGACUAUGUGUUACCUUCUAUGCUUGACAUUGACUUUGCUUGUGUUUUAAUUAAUAAUACGUUGGUAAUGAUUUGUCUUGGAUCUGAUUGUGCCCGCCCAUG